RNAcentral lists this long non-coding RNA (445 nucleotides) under Ananas comosus (pineapple). Its description in RNAcentral is "long non-coding RNA (ACOM_LNC019746)". Lineage: Eukaryota; Viridiplantae; Streptophyta; Magnoliopsida; Poales; Bromeliaceae. The record is from RNAcentral.
AUACUUGGGAUUUGAGUUGGUGAGUUUAUUGAGGGCGAAACUCACGGGCUAGCCUAGAGAUUGAGAAUCGAAAAUGUGACCUUACAUUCAUCAUGAGUAUUCUAUCGAGUAUCGCAUUCUGUAUUGUUCAGGCAUAUUAGCUGCAUUUGUUUAGUUGGUUACUAUCUAUCUGUUCUUCUGUUAUGCCUGAUUUAGACCUAGUGGGAAAGUUUGCGUGGUUGGUUGCCAAACCCACUGGAUGUGAUGUAUGUAUAGUGAACCUCUGAUGUUUAUAUAUGUUUUUAUUUCAGCAGUUCUAUACUACUAGUUGUAGUAUUGUAUGAUUACAGAUACAGGUACAGCUAUCGCUUCGUAUAUAUGAAAAAUUUCUUUGUAUACGGCAGAUUUGUCGGCGUACCCUGGGAAACGAGUAAUUUAGGGCGUGACAAAAAAUUUAUGUAGAUCU